CAGGUUGACAGAGACUGGAGACUCAGCCCAGCCCCAAGGCUCCUGUGGGCCUCCAAAUAGCUGUGUUACCAGAGGAGACCAAGAGGAGACCCUAGUGACAUCAGCCCCUCUCCCACAGAAGCAGGCUUCCAGACAGGCUUAAAAUGAGCAAUCCCAGAGGCAGAAAGGAAAGACCUCGCUAACACCAAGAAAGAAGGGCCAGGAGCAGAGUGCAUCUUUGGACCCAAGGUCCCUGCACCGAGAACCUCCUAGAUCAAGAAGACAUAAAACUAUAAGACCAGAGAAGGCACAAGACAGCAAGAAGCAGCAGCUGAGAACUGACAGCAGCAGAACAAGACCAGCAGGAGAUGGUGAAGUAAUUUUCCUGGCCCAGGGAUUGAUAGAGAUGAUCGCCUUCAGGCAGGAGGUUUGUUGGCAGAAUGAGAUGCCUCUGGACACUUACUAGUAGAGCUAAAGAGCUUUGUAACACUUCCCCAGCAGGGCUGGUCCCAGAAGCCUGAGAGACAAGAGGGGCUGAGGGGCCGAAGGCCAGAAAGAGGCCUGUCUGUGGGCCUGACCAAGAACCUGUCCUGAUGGAAGAACUGUAUCCUAUUUCUGAUCCUAGAUUGUAACCUGGUACUUCCCUGAUAAACCCCAUUAUCGUGAGUUCUGUGUGGCCAUUAUGAUGAAUUAUCGAACACAGUAGAGGAGUAGAGAGUGUGCUGUGGGAGGAAUGGCUGGUGCAGGAACUGGUAAAAAAGGUUGGAGGAUUGAGACUUUCUGUCCUGUUGGGCAUUGUGGUCAUUACAAUUCAUCUGCACUGCUGGAUACCACGGAAAACAGUGCUGUGAUCCCAACCCUCACUGACAUUCCCUGUCUUGAUGAGCUUUGGGGAAAACGAGAGGGAUAAGGUUUCCCUCCCCACCCACAGACUCUGUAGUCACUAUAAUUCAUAUGCAGCCCUGGAAACCAUGCAAGGCAGCGUCACAAGCCUGACCCUCACAGCCCUUCUGUGUCUUGGGCCGUGUUGGGGCCACUGGAACCAGGUACAGACAGGGACCCUCCCCAAACCCUCCAUCUGGGCUGACCCAGGCCCCAUCAUUGCCAUGGGGAGCCCUGUGACUAUCUGGUGUCUGGGGCCUCUGGAUGCUGAUGGCUACUACAGUCUGUAUAAAGAGAGAAUCUCUCAACCCUGGGGUAUGAAAGCCUCACUGGACUCCAAGUACAAGGCCAGUUUCCUCAUCAACAAAUCCAUGGACAUACACCAAUCAGGGUGGUUCCAGUGUGCAUAUCACAGCUCGAGUGGCUGGUCAGAAUGGAGUGACCCCCUGCUCCUUGUGACAGCAGAAGCAGCUGAUACCACCAGUCCAUCAAAACACAAGCCAGACUUCAAGAGUGGAGCCUACAGCAAACUCAUCCUCUCAGCCCUACCAAGCCGUGUGGUGACCUUAGGAGGAAAUGUGAUCCUUCAAUGUGGUUCAUGGCAGAAACUUGAUGGGUUUGUUCUAAGAAAGGAGAACACAAAGUCUUCUGGACUCUGGACUCACACCCACAUUCCAGUGGGCAUUCCCAGGCCCUCUUCCCUGUGGGCCUCUUGACCCCCAGCCACAGGUGGACAUGCAUAUUCUGUGGAUAUUGCAAGACAACUUUCUAUGUGUGGUCACGCCCAUCGACACCCUAGAGCUCCUGGUCUCAGGUUGUUAGGUGCCAUCGAGUCAGUUUUGACCCAUAGCAUCUUAGUGCAAAAGAAUGAAACACUACCCAGUCCUGAGCCAUCCCCAUGAUCAUUGUUGUGCUUGACAGCCACUGUGUCAAUCCAUUUCCUUGAGGGUCUUCCUUUUUUUUCGAUGACCCUGCACUUUACCAAGCAUGAUGUCCUUCUCCAGGGACUGAUCCCUCCUGAUAACAUGUCCAAAGUAUGUGGGACAAAGUCUCACCAUCUUCGCUUCUAAGGAUCAUUCUGGCUGUACUUUCUCCAAAACAGAUUUGUUCAUUCUUUUGGCGGUUCAUGGUAUAUUCACUAUUCUUCACCAACACCAUAAUUCAAAGGCAUCAAUUCUUUGGUCUUCCUUAUUCAUUGUCCAGCUUUCACAUGCAUAUGGGGUGAUUGAAAACACCAUGGCUUGGGUCAGACGGACCUUAGUCUUCUUUAUAACACUCUGAAGAGGUCUUUUGCAGCAGAUUUGCCUAAUGCAAUGCAUCUUUUGAUCUCUUGACUGCUGCUUCCAUGACUGUUGAUUGUGGAUCCAAGUAAAAUGAAAUCCUUGCCAACUUCAAACUUUUCUCCAUUUGUCAUGAUGUUGUUUAUUGGUUCAGUUGUCAGAAUUUUUGUUUUCUUUAUGCUGAGUUGUAAUCCAUACUGAAGGUUGUGGUCUUUAAUCUUAAUCAGCAAGUGCUUCAAGUCCUCUUCACUUUCAGCAAGCAAGGUUGUGUCUCCUGAAUAACAAAGGUUGUUAAAGAGUCUUCCUCCAAUCCUGAUGCCCUGUUCUACCUUAUAAAGUCCAGCUUCUCAGAUUAUUUGCUCAGCAUACAGAUUAAAUAAGUAUGAUGAAAGGAUACAACCCUGAUGCACACCUUUCCUGACUUUAAACCACACAGUACCCCCUUGUUCUGUUCAAACGACUGCCUCUUGGUCUAUGUACAGGCUCCUUAUGAGCACAAGUAAGUGUUCUGGAAUUCAUUCUUCACAAUGUUACCCAUAAUUUGUUAUGAUCCACAAAGUCAAAUGCCUUUGCGUAGUCAAUAAAAUACAGGGAAACAUCUUUCUGGAGCUGGCCCCCUGAAUUUGGACUUCUGACUUCCUAGACUGUGAGAGAAUAAAUUUCUGCUUGUUAAUGUCUCCCACUUGUGUUAUUUCUGUUUUAACAGCACCAGAUAACUAAGGCAGAAAUGAUGGAAAUGAGGAGAGCCCUGCAGGUGGUUCCUCCAAGAGGAGGAACUAGCCUGUGAGAGGGUAAACAUAAACCAGGAUGUUCCACUCAUUCCUGAGGUCUCAAACAAGGCUAAAUGUUGAUACAGGGCUGGAAUAAGAUGUGAGUGAAUCCAGGAGGAAACAUAUUUAUACUGAAGUGGGAGAAGACAGAGGAUCCCACAACCACUUCCCUCAUGAUGUCUUCAUCUCAGAAUCAGAAACUCUGGGUGUUCCAACCCUUUCCCGUAUGAUUCUGGCCCAUGGCUGAAGCAGUGGAUACCAUCAGUUCAUCAAUAUACAAGUCAGACUCCAAGAGUGGAGGAAAAUGAGAAUCACAAAAAGGAAGUCACCCGCUCAAGAUUGACAUCACUUAUGUCACGGCUACAUCUUCAUUUGAAAUCUCUGAAUUGCCUUCAACCAGUGCUCUUACCUAGUGCCUGAAGAAAGAAUUCAGAGUAUGAGAUGGGGAGCUCUGCACAGGGCAUGAAGGGGCACUAAGGAGCAGAAGCAACUCAGAGGCUCUGAAGGUUUUCCACUUAUAGAAACAGGGAUGUAAUUUAAGGGAAGUAUUUAGGACAACAAAAACCCACAAUCCUGGCCAUGAAAAAGGAAUGUGCUUUCUUCUGAGAGUCGAUGAACAGUCUUAUAAACAUCUCCAGAUGCCUCUUUCUCUGUAUGGGUUCAUCUUCUCUUUGAUGGCCCCAUUGGCUUCUCCAGUCAACCAAGGCACCCUCUCCUGCUUCGCAUCCAAUCAUCAAGUUCAAACAGUUCUACCUCGUGAUGCCAAUGCCAUCACACCAGACUCCUUCCUGUCCCUACUCUAGGCUCUUUCUCCCUAUUGUAGUUUAUUCUCCCCAAAGACCCCAUUCUGAAAUGGCUCUGACCCUGCAUGCUCAAUAUUCUUGCACAGGGUUCCAUAUUUCUCUAAAGAAGAUCCAAGUUCCUCCUGCUGAAAUUCAAGUUUGUCAAUGAUCAAGCCUGAGCUAAACUCUCCAGCCACAGCAAACACUGUUCCUCCCACCUCUGCCUCAGAAAACACACAUACAUACAACCUUAUACACACAUCAAGGUAUGUGAUCAUUAGGGUUGUGUGUCAACUUGGUGCCAUGAUUUCAGUGGUUUGGCAGUUAUGACAUAGUUUGGCAAUCGUAUGAUGAUGUGACCACUUCCAUGACGAGCUUUGACAUAAUGCGAUCACCUCCAUGAUGGGAUCUGCUGUGAGUAGCCAAUCAGUUGAAAGGGAGAUUCCUUGGGUGUGUGGCCUGCACUGAAUAUAAGUGGACAUUCUGGCAAGGCUAACGGGCUUUUCCUUGCUCUGGACGCUGCAAGUGGCUCCUGUUCAUCUGGCCUCUGGUUCUUGGGACUUGAGCUUACUUGCAGACUUACCUGCCAGUCUUGGAAUUCAUCGGUCUUCUAAGCCUGUGAGCAAGAGCUCUGCUGUCUGACACGCUGAUCUUGGAUUUGCCAGCGCCUGUGGCUACAUGAAUCAGGAGAAGCCUCCAGCCACAGAAUUGGAACAUUCCAGCCUCUACAACAACGUGAGCCAUUUCCUUUAUAUAAAUCUCUCUAUACAUAUAUUUAUAUGCUUUACUGGUUUUGCUUCUCUAGAGAACCCAGCCUAAGACAAGGUAUUCAGCAUUUUGAGCCUUUUCUUGGGCUGCUUUAUCAGCCAAUAUUUAUGAAUAUAGGAAACUCCUUUACAAUCUCCCUUACUAAGAUAAAGACUAAGAAGUCUUCCUGCUACAUUUCACUCAACUGUAAAUGUGUUUGUGUCAUAAGGUUUGUGUAAAGGUUACAUGAGAAACCCUCACAAACCACUUAGAAUAAUAAUUGGCACAUCAUAUAGUUGUUAGGUGCUGUCAAGUUGGUUCCAAGUUAUAGUGACCCUAUGUAUGACAGAACAAAUCACUGCCCAGUCAUCUGCCAUCCUCACAAUCAUUGUUAGGCUUGCUCCCAUAAUGUAGAGGUUGAGGUAAUUUUGGAGUUUUAUUAUUGCUUAGUUUAAGUGUGGUCUUGCCACAUACCAUUCUCUGCAUACUAGUGGUCUUCCUAAAAGAGAAAAUUUUUUAUACUUUUUCUUGCUUAAAGUCUCUGUGGCCUUAAAUAUAAAAUCCAAAUCAUGUGCAUGAGGCACAAGACCCUGUGUGACCAGGUCCCAGCGUGUCCCUGAUUCCUCUCAGUUCUUAGAACAGUUUAAGCUCUUUCCGAUGGAGAAUGUCUUCCCCUCAUGUAUGACAAUUCCUACAUAAGCCGUGAUCUCUCCCUCCUCCAGAAGGUCUCUUCACUCCCAUGAUCCAGAUUGCAUGCUAUCCACCUAUUUUACUCCUUUCUUACACCUUGCUAAAACUGUAGCUGAAUUACUCAUUAUUGAAAUAUUUGCAAUGUCUGUUUUCUCUUCAUUUGAGCUCCAUGGGUCCAGGAAGGAAUCUGUGCGCUUUGCCCUUGAAGUUCCAAUAUCAGGCACCAUUCCUGGCACAUGCUCAGUGUUCAAUAAACAUUUGUUGAUUGCAUGGUUGAUGGAAGGAAGGACCAAAAUGUGCAUUUAGGGAGGGUCAGAAAAGGGAAGGGAUUUGUUCUAGAUCAUCCAACUUCUAUAAAAGGCAGACUCAGAAUUAUAACUGAAACUGGGUUGGCUCCUGAGCCCUAAUUGUCUAGUCUCAUGCUCUGGAUUUGGGUUUUGUAUGAGGUGGAUGAGAUGGACGCAUCUGAGCUGCAGAGUGCUGGGUGUCAAGUUAGACACAACCUGGUCUGAAAGAUCUUGAGAGCCUUCUAUCUCCUCAGCUCCAACCACUGGGAAGAUCAGAGCCAUGUCCCAGGGAGGGGGUUUUCCACUUCCUUUGAGGACAUAGAUGACGAAACCACGUGACUCAUACCACAGACCCUAAGACUUUUCACACCAUGUGGGUCUGAUGCUCCUGUUGUCUUUUGUGGACAUUAUAAUUUGUCUAAGCCCUGGAGACUAUGGGAGAGAGAGCUACAACCCCAAUCCUCCCAACCCAUCUUUGUCUUGGUAAGCUUUGGUGGAAAAGAGAAGGGAUUAGGUCCUUUUUGCCACAUGCAGGUCCUCAUUCCUUGGGAAGCUCCAAGUACUAAGGAGGCUCAAGUGGAGGCUGAGCCUCUGGAGGUGGAGAGAACCUUCUCAGCUCCAGGAUUGACCCCACUCAGGGGACGGACAACCUAUGGAACUUCUGUGUGUGGAUGGGAGGAACAAGUUUUUCACAGAGAACUCUAUCCCAGUGAUGUGAUGGAGCCACUGGUACCAGGUAUAGAUAUAUGAGUCCUCCCACAGACCCACCAGUUACAACAUUGUUGUCCAGGACAAGGAAACCCCUGGGUGGCUCAGGGAUAGCACAGAGAGUCUGGGCUGGUGAUGACCAGUCAUGGAGGGAUCUUGGAGUGAGAGCUGGGGAAACUGAGGUUCAAACCCCUUGAAAUUCAGGUCUGAUUCCUUUCCAGGAACCGUUCCUAAAUCUUCCAUCUGGGCUGACCCAAGUACCAUAAUCACCUGGGGAAGUCCAUCUGGUGUCAGAGGUCUCUGCAGGCAUUUGACUAGCAUCUGUGUAAAGAGGGAGUCUCUAAACUCUGGAAUACCUGGGUUCUAUUGGACUCCAGGGACAAGGCUAGUUACUCUAAUGAAUACGUUAACAUAUAUGAUAUAGCGCGAUUUCAGUGUACAUAUCACUGUUCAAUAGGCUGGUCAGAGCAGAGUGACCUCGGCUUCUGGUAGUGAUAGGUAAGAAACAGGGGCCAGGACAUCCCUCCAUGGUCAGCUCCUCCUCACAGGCAGAAGGGAGCAGAAGGUCCCUCAGGUGAGACCUCACACCACACUUGUGUGAGGUGAGAGUAGCCCCCCUUUAACUCAGCUCCCUUCUUCUCCCUCAGGAAUACACAGCAAAUCCUCCUUCUCAGUCCAUCUAAGCCCUCUGGUGGCUUCAGGAGGUAAUGGUUUCUUCUUGUGUAGCUCAAAAGACACAAUGGACACUUUCUAUCUGCUCAAGGAGGGAGAAGCUGACCCACCCAGAUACAAGAAAUCUCAGUUCUCUGCUGAAAGGCACUAGACCUUUUUUCCAGUGGAUCCUGUGGACACCUCGCAUAGGGAUACCUACAGAUGCUAUGGUUCUUCUAGCACUUACCCCAUCAGUGGUCAUUCCCCAGUGACCCUUUGGAUCUCCUGCUCCAAGUGAAGAGCCCCCAUCCCAUGUCCAUUCAGGGCUCAGAUUGUCAGCUCACAGUCAGUCCCUGGAUUCUUCUGUGCUAUGAUGGGAAGGAAGGGAGCAACAAGAGGGGGCCCUGUCCCACAGAGGGGUGGAAAAAGUGGGAAAUUCCAACAACCUCUCCAUCCUAACAACUACCCUAGGAUUCUAGGCUGUUCUAGAUGAUGGGAUGGCAGAGGUUGAAGGAUGAAUGAAGCCCUCCUAGGAGGAAAGGAGCUUGGGCUGAAGAAGGCUAGAAAGGCAGCCCCAGCUCCACAUCAUCCUCCUGUCCCUGUUCCAAGCAGCAUUUAGAGCUUCAGCCCCUCACCCACAUGGACACGAACUCCAUGACAGUCAAGUCUCAGGCCAGAGGAAUCAGUCUCCCACAGGUCUGGUCUUCCGUUCUCAGUUUAUUCUUGUCUUGUUCAAAUCUUUACAAAAGGGGCUGUAGCCCAGAGGAACUGGGGAAGGUGAUGGAAAUUAAGGGGAGAGACCUCAUGUAUCUGGAGCACUGGAGUCAUUGGUGCCUUUUAGGUGGUCAGUGUGUGGGAGGAAAUAUCUGAAGGAGAAGAGGCCAAGGUGAGUUGGGGAGAGAAGAGCAGACUCAGUUCUUCACCCCUUCAAUCGUGCUGAUUUCUAGGGGCCACUAAGAGUCAUCACCAGGCACCCCUGGAGUCAUGCCCAUAAUAUGAAGAAUAAAGGGUGUCUCUUAUUUUGGGAAUCAGAGUGGUUGGGGGAUUCAUGGGAAGUCAUAGCCGGAAGUUGAGUUGGAUCGACAACUCCUGGGUUGGAGGCCCUGGCAAAAUUUUAUCCAACUCUAGGUCUUUAUUCUCCCAUCAGGAAAAGAAUAAAUCCUGUCCUGGAUUUCAAAAGGCCCAAUCAGUUCAGAACUUGUGUUCCAAUGACUUCCUGGGAAAGGAGGUGUCAGAAUGCAUCUGGGGCUUCAGUCCACUCUGGACACGUCCUGUUUCCUCCAGAAAUUGUGGUCAUGCUGUGGGAGAAAACACUGAAGGAUAGAACAGAUGCCUGCCCAAGUGUUCUUCCUCAGUUUCCAUGAGUACUUGGUUGUCAGCCUAAUAGGGUCAUCCGCAAAAAGACCAUCUGUGAGAACUUGUGUAAAGUAAUCCUUCCUCUUGACCUCCUAAGGGCAGGCUCUUCUUGGUUCCCUGAGGAAAGGCUCCUCUCAGGAUAGGCCUCCUCUCUUGGCCCUCAGCUCUCACUUUGGCCAGACCUCUCCCCUGUCUGGUCAAGUAUUACACAGCUCUUUAGCUCCACCGACAAGUGCCCAGAGGCAUCCCACUCUGCCAGCAAGCCUUUUGCCCAAAGGCUCUCAACUCUCUUGCACUGUGGGUUGAUACACCCACUGUAGCUUCCUUUCUCAGUGAGCCAGGAAACCCACAGCGCCAUCUCACACCAGUCUCCUGUUUCUGCUGCUGUCAUUUUUCUGCCAUUGCUUCUCACCAGCUCACACCAUCUCUGGUGUUGCAUCUCUCUCUCUCUGUGUCACCUGGGUCUAGGAGGUUCUCAGCACAGGAACCUGGGUUCAAAAGACACACUUCACUCCUGGCUCUUCCUUCUUGAUGGAAGUGAGGUCCCCUUGUUUCUCUGGAAUGAGCUCAUUUUAAGCCUAGUGGGAUGGCAAGACUGAUCAAUCCCCUCAUUAGGGUUCCAUACACCUUAUAUGAAUGAUCCCACCACCACAAGAGUUCAGAGCACCUUAUCUGCAUUAUUAGCAGUUUGUGCAAUCCACUUGUUGGGCUACAAACACCUUGUUUGUACAGUUCCACUCAGUCCUUGUGUUGAAGUCACAAAGACUAUGACUAGAAGGGCCAUAUUAAGUAAUUCACUGCACCGCACUAACAUAUUUAUUUUUAGUGAAUAGUUACAAAUUCAUGCAUGGAUUUCAAGAAUUGGAGUAUGCCCCACAUCUAAUUCCAAAUUUUACACUCUGUAAUAGCCCCCUACAUUAACUACCAGGAAAAGCACACAAUUAUAUCCUCUGGGUUUUUAAUAUAAAUGUUAAACACAAAAUUUCCCAAUUUCAUUGAAUCUUUUGAAAUUUAUAUGAUACUUGACACUCUCUUUUCAGGAGCCACACUUUUGCUAUUAUCAAUAUCAAAAUUGCCAUUUUUUUUUUCUUUGAAGCCCUGUACUCUUUGCUUUUUAUUAUGUUGUGGCUUGUUCCUUAGGAGCCCUGGUGGUGUAGUGGUUAAGCCAACCAGAAGGUUAAAACCCAACAGCCGGUCUGUGGGAGAAAGAUGUUGCAGUAUGCUUCCAUAAACAUUACAGCCUCGGAAACUAUAUGGGGCAACUACUCUUUCCUAUAGGGCCUCUACAAGUCAGAACUGACAGGACGACAAUAGGUUUGGCUUGUUCUUAUCAGUCCAGAUUAUAAUCACUCUGAAUACACUUAAGUUUAUACUAAAAUAAAAAUAACAUUGGAUUAAAAACAGUUCACCUCACAGCUUUGUUUGUUUCAUCCAAACGCAUAAUGUUAGCCUGUCUUUGUGGCAAGAAACCCACAGAUACCUUCAAGAAUAUUCAAGCAAAAUCUUUAAAUUAUUUUUUUUAUUGAACUUCAGAUGAAGGUUUACAGAACAAACUAGUUUCUCAUCAAACAGUUAGUACACACAUUGUUGUAUGACAUUGGUUAACAGCCCCAUGACAUGUCAACACUCUCCUUUCUCAACCCUGGGUUCCCUAUUACUAACUUUCCUGUUCCCUCCUACUUUCCAGUCCCUGCCCCAGGGCUGGUGUGCCCCUUUAGUCUUGUUUUGUUCUAUGGGCCUGUUCAAUCUUCGGCUGAAGGGUGAACCUCAGGAGCGGCCUCAUUACUGAGCUGAAAGAGUGCCCAGGGUCCAAUACUCUCAGGGUUUCUCCAGUCUCUGUCAGGCCAGCAAAUCUGGUCUUUCUUUUCGAGUUAGAAUUUUGUUCUAUAUUUUUCUCCAGCUCUGUCCGGGGCCCUCUAUUAUGAUCCCUGUCAGAGCAGUCAGUGGUGGUAGCCAGGCUCCAUCUGGUUGUACUGGACUCAGUCUUGUGGAAGCCAUGGUAGAUGUGGUCCAUUAGUCCUUUGGACUAAUCUUUCGCUUGUGUCUUUAGUUUUCUUCAUUCUUCCUUGCUCCCAAAGAGGUGAGACCAGUGAAGUGUCCUAGAUGGCUGCUCACAGGCUUUUAAGGCCCCAGACAUCAAGCAAAAUCUUUAAUCGUAAAUUUUUCACAUGGUAACCAAUAAAAGUGUCGUGAUUUCAAACAGUAUUUGCUCAAUGUGUUUGUUUGUUUCGAUGGCAACUUUCCAUCAUGGCUCUCCUGAGGUCUCUACAUCCCACUUCUAAUUCAAUAAACCACACAGUUUUAUGAAUCAUUUCACUCUAUUUUACUGUUGGAGUUACCGUCUGUUGUAUAAAAGAAAUUAUCUCACACGUUAAAAAGUUGCUUACAGCUAUAGGUAUUUAAAUGGCUACAUUGACUUCACAUCUUUGUAGAGUAUAAUCAUUUAAUUAAAUAUUGGCAGCUAAUUUAUCCUCUGCCUUAAGUAAUCAAAUUUUACCUGGAGAGUGGAAAAAAUAAUGAAGAGUACAUUUCCAAGUGUUGGAGAGUUUGUACAUCAUCAGGCUCUUUAAGGAGCCAUAGCUGGUGGAGUAAACCUUCACCUAAAGUUCAAUAAAAAAAAUAAUUUAAAGAUUUUGCUUGAAUAUACUUGAAGGUAUCUGUGGGUUUCUUGCCACGAAGACAGGCUAACAUUAUGCAUUUGGAUGAAACAAACAAACAAAGCUGUGAGGUGAACUGUUUUUAAUCCAAUGUUAUUUUUAUUUUAGUAUAAACUUAAGUGUAUUCAGAGUGAUUCUGUUUAUGCCAUGUAUUAGGGCUCCUAACGUUGUCCCUAUUUUUUCUUCCAUAAUCUUUAUUGUUUUGGACUUUAUGUUUAGGUCUUUGAUGCAUUUGGAGUUAGUUUUUGUGCAUGGUGUGAGGUAUGGGUCUUGUUUCAUUUUUUUGCAGAUGGAUAUCCAGUUAUGGCAGCACCAUCUGUUAAAAAGACUAUCUUUUCCCCAAUUAACUGACACUGGGCCUUUGUCAAAUAUCAGCUGCUCAUAUGUGGAUGGAUUUAUAUCUGGACUCUUGAUUCUGUUCCAUUGGUCUAUGUGUCUGUUGUUGUACCAGUACCAGGCUGUUUUGACUACUGUGGUGGUAUAAUAGGUUCUGAAGUCAGGUAGAGUGAGGCUUCCCACUUUGUUCUUUUUCAGUAAUGAUUUACUUAUCUGAGGCUUCUUUCCCUUCCAUAUGAAGGGGUCUGUUUUUCCAUCUCAUUAAAAAAUGUCAUUGGAAUUUGGUUGCAUUGUAUAUAUAGAUGGCUUUUGAGAGAAUAGAUAUUUUUACAAUGUUAAGUCUUCCUAUCCAUGAGCAAGGUAUGUUUCUCCACUUAUGUAGGUCCGUUUUGGUUUCUUGCAGAAGUGCCUUGUAGUUUUCCUUGUAUAGGUCUUUUACGGCUCUGGUUAGAUUUAUUCGUAAGUAUUUUAUCUUCUUGGGGGCUAUGGUGAAUGGUAUUGAUUUGGUGAUUUCCUCUUCGAUGUUCUUUUUGUUGGUGUAGAGGAAUCCAACUGAUUUUUGUAUGUUUAUCUUGUAAUCUGAUACUCUGCUGAGCUCUUCUAUUAGUUUCAAUAGUUUUGUUUGUUUUGUUUUUUUUGAGGAUUCUUUAGGGUUUUCUGUGUAUAAGAUCAUGUCAUCUGCAAACAGAGAUACUUUUACUUCUUCCUCACCAGUCUGGAUGCCCUUUAUUUCUUUAUCUAGCCUAAUUGCUCUGGCUAGGACUUCCAGGACAAUGUUGAAUAAGAGUGGUGAUAAGGGGCAUCCUUGUCUGGUUCCCAUUCUCAAUGGGAAUGCUUUCAGAAUCUCUCCAUUAAGGAUGAUGUUGGCUGUUGGCUUUGUAUAAAUACCCUUUAUUAUGUUGAGGAAUUUUCCUUCUAUUCCUAUUUUGCUGAGAGUUUUUAUCAUGAAUGGGGGUUGGACUUUGUCAAAUGCCUUUUCUGCAUCAAUUGAUAAAAUCAUGUGGUUCUUGUCUUUUGUUUUAUUUGUAUGGUGGGUUACAUUAAUUAUUUUUCUAAUAUUGAACCAACCUUGCAUACCUAAUAUAAAUCCCAGUUGGUCACGGUGAAUUAUUUUUUUGAUAUGUUGUUGAAUCCUGUUGGCUAGAAUUUUGCUGAGGAUUUUUGCAUCUACGUUCAUGAGGGAUAUGUCUGUAAUUUUCUUUUUUUGUGCUGUCUUUAGCUGGUUUUGGUAUCAGAGAUAUGCUGGUUUCAUAGAAUGAGUUGGGGAGUAUUCCAUCCUUUUCUAUGCUUUGAAAUACCUUUAGUAGUAGUGGUGUUAACUCUUCUCUGAAAGUUUGGUAGAACUCUGCAGUGAAGCCAUCCAGUCCAAGGCUUUUUUUUGUUGUUGAGAGUUUUUUGAUUACCGUUUCAAUCUCUUUUUUUGUUAUGGGUCUAUUUAGUUGUUCUACUUCUGUUUGUGUUAGUUUAGGUAGGUAGUGUGUUUCUAGGGGUUCAUCCAUUUCUUCUAGGUUUUCAAGUUUGUUAGAGUACGAUUUUUCAUCAUAAUCUGAUAUCAUUCUUUUAAUUUCAGUUGGGUCUGUUGUGAUAUGGCCAAUCUCAUUUCUUAUUCGGGUUGUUUCCUUUCCUCUUUUACGUUAGUCAGUCUGGCCAAUGGUUUGUCAAUUUUGUGAAUUUUUUCAAAGACCCAGCUUUUGGCCUUGUUAACUUUUUCAAUUGUUUUUCUGUCUUCUAAUUCAUUUAAUUCUGCUCUAAUUUUUAUUACUUGUUUUCUUCUGGUGCCUGAGAGUUUCUUUGGUUGCUCUCUUUCUAUUUGUUCAAGUUGUAGGGACAGUUCUUUGAGUUUGGCUCUUUCUUCUUUUUGUAUGUGUGCAUUUAUUGAUAUAAAUUGACCUCUGAGCACUGUUUUUGCUCUGUCCCAAAGGUUCUAAUAGGAACUGUUUUCAUUCUCAUUGCAUUCUAUGAAUUUCUUUAUUCCCUCCUUAAUGUCUUUUAUAACCCAGUCUUUUUUCAGCAGGGUAUUGUUCACUUUCCAAGUAUUUGAUUUCUUUUCCCUAGUUUUUCUGUUACUGAUUUCUACUUUUAUGGCCUUAUGGUCUGAGAAGGUGCUUUGUAAUAUUUAGAUGUUUUGGGUUCUGCAAAGUCUUGCUUUAUGUGGUCUAUUCAAGGGAAUGUUCCAUGUGCACUAGAAAAGAAAGUAUACUUUGCAGCUGUUGGGUGGAGUGUUCUGUAUAAGUCUAUGAGGUCAAAUUGGUCGAUUGUAGCAAUUAAAUCUUCCAUGUCUUUAUUGAGCUUCUUACUGGAUGUCCUGUCCUUUACUGAAAGUGGUGUGUUGAAGUCUCCUACUAUAGUUGUGGAGGUGUCUAUCUCACUUUUCAAUUCUGUUAGAGUUUGGUUUGUGUAUCUUGCAGCCCUGUCAUUGGGUUCAUAAAUAUUUAAUAUGCUUAUAUCUUCCUGGUAAAUUGUCCCAUUAAUCAUUAUGUAGUGUCCUUCUUUAUCCUUUGUGGUGGAUUUAACUUUAAAGUCUAUUUUGUCAGAAAUUAAUAUUGCCACUCCUGCUCUUUUUUGAUUGUUGUUUGCUUGAUAUUUUUUUUUCCAUCCUUUGAGUUUUAGUUUGUUUGAGUCUCUAAGUCUAAGGUGUGUCUCUUGUAGGCAGCAUAUAGUUGGAUUGUGUUUUUUUAAUCCAAUCUGCCACUCUCUGUCUCUUUAUUGGUACAGUUAGUCCAUUUACAUUCAGCAUAAUUAUAGAAAAACAGGAGUUUAGUGCUGUCAUUUUGCUGCUUUAUUUUGUGUGUUGUUGACAAUUUCAUUUUUCCACUUAUUUUUUUUGUUCUGAGAAGUUUUUCUCUGUAAAUUGUGUGUUCUUCAUUUUCAUAGUAGUUGAAUUUAUUUUUGCUGAGUCAUUAUGUUUAUCUCAGUUUUUAUUGUGAAAUAUGGAAUUGUUAGACCUCUUUGUGGUUACCUUAAUAUUUACCCCUAUUUUUCUAAGUAAAAACCUAACUUGUAUCACCCUAUAUUGCCUUGGUUUCCUUUCCAUCUGGAAGAUCUAUGCCUCCUGUAUUUAGUCCCUCUUUUUUGAUUAUUGUAAUCUUUUACAUAAUGACAUCAAUGAUUCCCUGUUUUGAGCAUUUUUUUUUAAUUAAUCUUAUUUUGUUUUUGUGAUUUCCCUAUCUGAGUUGAUAUCAGGAUGUUCUGUUCUGUGACCUUGAGUUGUGUUGGUAUCCGAUAUUAUUGAUUUCUUGACCAAAGAAUUUCCUUUAGUAGUUCUUGCAGCUUUGGUUUGGUUUUUGCAAAUUCUCUAAGCUUGUGUUUAUCUGUAAAUGUCUUAAUUUCACCUUCAUAUUUUAGAGAGAGUUUUGCUGGAUGUUAUGAUUCUUGGCUGGCAGUUUUUCUCCUUCAGUGCUCUAUAUAUGUCAUCCCAUUACCUUCUUGCCUGCAUAGUUUCUGCCGAGUAGUCUGAACUUACUCUUAUUGAUUCUUCUUUAUAUGUGACUUUUCAUUUAUCCCUGGCUGCUUUUAAAUUUUUCUCUUUAUCUUUGGUUUUGGCAAGUUUGAUGAUAAUAUUUCUUGGUGAUUUUCUUUUGGAAUCUAUCUUGUAUGGGGUUCAAUGAGCAUCUUGGAUAGAUACCCUUUAAUUUUUCACAAUGCCAGGGAAGUGUUCUGCCAACAGGUCUUCAACCAUUUUCUAUGUAUUUUCUGUUAUCCCUCCCUGUUCUGGAACUCCAAUCACACAGAAGUUAUUCUUCUUAAUAGAGUCCCACAUGAUUCUCAGGGUUUCUUCAUUAUUUUUAAUUCUUUUAUCUGAUUUUUCUUCAAAUAUAUUGGUACCAAUUGCCUUAUCCUCCAUCUCCCCAACUCUGCAUUCCAAUUCCUCUAUUCUGUUCCUCUGACUUCAUAUUGAGUUGUCUAAUUCUGUAAUUUUAUUAUUAAUCUUUUGAAUUUCUGAAUGCUGUCUCUCUAUGGAUUCUUGCAGCUUAUUAAAUUUUUCACUAUAUUCUUGAAUAAUCUUUUUGAUUUCUUUAACUGUUUUAUCUGUGUGUUCCUUGGCUUUUUCUGUAGAUUGCCUUAUUUCAUUUCUGAGGUCAACCUUGAUGUCUUGAAGCAUUCUGUAUAUUAGUUUUUUAUAUUCUACAUCUGGCAAUUCCAGGAAUGUAUCUUCACCUGGGGAAGAUUUUGAUUCUCUGAUUUGGGGGUUUGUAGAAGCAAUCAUGGUCUGUUUCUUUAUGUGAUCUGAUAUUGACCGCUGUCUCCGAGCCAUCUAUAAGAUGUUGUAAUGGUUUAUUUUAUAUUUGCUCAUUGAGUCUUCUUGUUUUGUUUUGUUCCAAUACACCCAGAUGGGCUACUAGAGUGUGCUAACUUGAUUGUUGUAGCCUUUGAAUCACUUAUGUGCUGUUACCAGCUGGUUUGAGCUGUUACCACGUAUAUGAGCCUGUUAGUCCAUUCACUAUUCUUGAAUAGACUCAGCUCAGGUGUCCUGAUAGUGGGUCACCUAGUGUGUGUGUAGGCUCUCAUCUAUAAUCCCAGAGGAGUAGUGGUGAUGGUUGGAUGUGCUGGUUUCUAGUAUCAGCAGGAGGUCACACUCCAAGGAGGGCAGGAUGCUGACAGCCUUCCCCCAAGUGCCAGUGAAGUAAGAGUGUCUCUAUUCUCUAGAGCAUUCUGGUGGGUGUGCUUUGCAACUGUACCUUAGGCACCCAAUGCUUGUAUCUCUAAAGAUUGGUAGACAUCUCUAUCCUCAGACCCCUUUAGCUGGUGGCUAGGUGGUGUGGAUGAAGCUUCAGCCCUCAGUUCCCUGCUGUAGAUAAGUGAGGACCCUGUUUAAUAGGUAGAGAGAUAUCAGACCUCCAAAACUUGCCUUUCUACUGCUCAGCUAAAACAAUUACAGUCAGAUCUCUAUCAGAAUUGUCUUUGCAUUAUAAUAGCCACCAGGUUCUCUGUAGGGAUGAAAGCCAAAGACUGUGGAUCUCUUAUGCCUGGAUGGAGCUGGUUCUGUAUUGUUAUUCUGGUUUAGGGAAGUCAGGAAAGGGUUUUUCCCCUGAUUGUUAAUUGCUGUUUUUCUCAGGCCAGGAGAAUGGGUUAGAAGAAAAAAAAAACACAGAGCACUUCACUCUCUGGCCCAGAGAAUUCCAAUGUUAAUGAAGCUAGCUGGGGCACGGAGAGGAGGGAUCAGAUAGAUAGAAGAGAGUGUUGUUGUUGUUGUUGUUGUUAGGUGCCGUGAAGUCGGUUCCAACUUAUAGUGACCCUAUGCACAUCAGAAUGAAACAUUGCCUGGUCCUGAGCCAUCCUUACAAUUGUUGUUAUGCUUGAGCUCAUUGUUGCAGCCACUGUGUCAAUCCAUCUCAUUGAGGGUCUUCCUCUUUUCUGCUGACCCUGUACUCUGCCAAGCAUGAUGUCCUUCUCCAGGGACUGAUCCCUCUUGACAACAGGUCCAAAGUAUGUAAGACACAGUCUUGCCAUCCUUGCCUCUGAGGAGCAUUCUAGUUGUACUUCUUACAAGACAGAUUUGUUCAUUCUUUUGGCGGUCCAUGGUAUAUUCUAUAUUCUUUGCCAACACCACAAUUCAAAGGUGUCAAUUCUUCUUCAGUCUUCCUUAUUCGUUGUCCAGCUUUCACAUGCAUAUGAUGCAAUUGAAAAUACCAUGGCUUGGGUCACGCACACCUUAGUCCUCAAGGUAACAGACAUCUUUGCUCUUCAACACUUUGAAGAGGUCCUUUGCAGCAGAUUUGCCCAAUGCAAUGCAUCUUUUGAUUUCUUGACUGCUACUUCCAUGGGUGUUGAUCGUGGAUUCAAGUAAAAUGAAAUCCUUGACAACUUCAAUCUUUUCUCCUUUUAUCAUGAUGUUGCUCAUUGGUCCUGUUGUGAGGAUUUUUGUUUUCUUUAUGUUGAGGUGCAAUCCAUACUGAAGGCUGUGGUCUUUGAUCUUCAUUAGUAAGUGCUUCAAGUCCUCUUCACUUUCAGCAAGCAAGAUUGUGUCAUCUGCAUAAU
Molecule: RNA transcript, 17104 nt
Organism: Loxodonta africana (African savanna elephant)
Lineage: Eukaryota; Metazoa; Chordata; Mammalia; Proboscidea; Elephantidae
Gene name: leukocyte-associated immunoglobulin-like receptor 1
Exons: 11
Source: RefSeq, a predicted model, not a curated record